GUGGAUGUAGCUCAGUUGGUAGAGUGCUUGCUUUGCAUGCACAAGGCCCUGGGUUCAAUUCCCAGCACCACA
Molecule: transfer RNA, 72 nt
Filed under: Ictidomys tridecemlineatus (thirteen-lined ground squirrel)
Lineage: Eukaryota; Metazoa; Chordata; Mammalia; Rodentia; Sciuridae
Description: Spermophilus tridecemlineatus (thirteen-lined ground squirrel) tRNA
Rfam family: tRNA
About the family: Transfer RNA (tRNA) molecules are approximately 80 nucleotides in length. Their secondary structure includes four short double-helical elements and three loops (D, anti-codon, and T loops).
Source: Rfam by way of RNAcentral